GCAUCUUCUACAAACGGGGUUUAAAAUGAGCUAGCGCCAUCUACUGGGCGAAUGUCGUAAGGUCUGUUGUGAGGUCCUGAAAUCUGCAAAGGAAUGAAUGAAUUACAAAUCUGUGGCUUUACUGGGGGAAUGUCGAGAAUCGGGCACACGCUGAAGUGUGAGAACCACUGCCAUUAUGGAGAAGAGGCUUCCCGCCCCGCUCACCCGCCACUCUAGAAAUCCAGAGAAGAGAUUCCACUUGGAUUAAGACUUGCAUAAGUGGGGAGUUGAGUCCAGUCUCUCUCCCCCACUGCAAGACCCUGUUGCAGUGACAUGUAAUAAUAAUAAAAAGACUUGCAUGAACUCCUU
This is a long non-coding RNA of Mandrillus leucophaeus (drill), 348 nucleotides long. RefSeq lists it as uncharacterized. The transcript has 2 exons. The record is from RefSeq and is a predicted model, not a curated record. Lineage: Eukaryota; Metazoa; Chordata; Mammalia; Primates; Cercopithecidae.